GCGCUCUUAGUUCAGUCCGGUAGAACGCGGGUCUCCAAAACCCGAUGUCGUAGGUUCAAAUCCUACAGAGCGUG
This 74-nucleotide transfer RNA is filed under the name Carex flacca. Its description in RNAcentral is "tRNA-Trp". It matches the Rfam family "tRNA". Rfam says of the family: Transfer RNA (tRNA) molecules are approximately 80 nucleotides in length. Their secondary structure includes four short double-helical elements and three loops (D, anti-codon, and T loops). The record is from RNAcentral. Lineage: Eukaryota; Viridiplantae; Streptophyta; Magnoliopsida; Poales; Cyperaceae.